This 1057-nucleotide long non-coding RNA is filed under the name Olea europaea subsp. europaea. Lineage: Eukaryota; Viridiplantae; Streptophyta; Magnoliopsida; Lamiales; Oleaceae. The record is from RNAcentral.
UUUAGAUUAGAUUCAUAAUGUGAAAUUCAAUUCUUUUUAAUAUGAAUAACUCAUAUAAGUUGAUAACAAUGCUACAUCAACAUAUAGCAGCCAAGUUUAUUUUUGUAUUUAAGUGAUUCAGUACUUGGAAAUUGGAAUGGUCUAAUGAGCGAGUGCAGCACCGUUCGAGAAAUAUAUGGAGAACUGCCUGAACUGGAGAAGGCUGUCAAAAAAAUUCAGCAAAUUACAUUUCUGAAUUUAUUAUGAUCCAAAAAUUGAUGACAAUCUAACUUCAUAAUUGCCAAAAUCUGAAAAUCAGUUACUAUCUUCUUUCCAGGGGACUCAAUUUUUAAAUUCAGAUCUUAACUUCAAGUCUUCAACUGGAAUUAGAAAGAUGAACUUAAUCAAUUUCUCUACACCUAACAGAGUAACAGCAUUUCCAAUUCCACGAUAGAAAUAUAAACCCAUGAGACCCAUCAAUAAUUAACCAGUAACAUUCAUAAAUUAAGCAAAAUCGUAAAUACAAUUUUCAAUUUUUAGAAUUUUCCACACUUCAUCUUCACUGAAACAUACAUUAGGUAAGUAAGGUAACCUUCAAUCACCUUCUUAGUUCUUCGUUCUUCUGGGCUCCGGCUUCGGGUUUCUCCAAUCUCCAGUGAAUCAGUUCUUUCGUUGGGCAGCUUGGGCCGACAGACGCAGUGGCAGGCGGUGGACUGGACGUCUGGAACUGUUAGUCUAGAAGUCACCAGUCGGCGCCUGUGAGUUGGAGUAGCGACUAGCGACUAGCAAGAAGUGGCGAUGGCAUUGGGUCGAUCGGUUGAGAGAGACGCGAUUCAAGUUGCAAGGGUUUGGUAAUGGGUGUGAAUUGAACGUAAAUGGGUUAAUUGAUUCAAGAUGUCGGGUCGGGUCAUUAAAUGACACAUGGACUGCAGGAAAUUAGGCCUUUUUAAUUAACCAGGCUUUACCCAAACCAAAAAAAAAAAAUUUGUUUUGGGCCUACUGGAGCCCAAAAGUUCAGUGCGGGGGCUCCGCCUCUGGUUACAAUAAAUGUCGAUUACAUUUUUUCUUUCAAUUUUUG